RNAcentral lists this transfer RNA (74 nucleotides) under Plantactinospora solaniradicis. RNAcentral's name for it is "tRNA-Pro". It matches the Rfam family "tRNA". Rfam says of the family: Transfer RNA (tRNA) molecules are approximately 80 nucleotides in length. Their secondary structure includes four short double-helical elements and three loops (D, anti-codon, and T loops). RNAcentral also lists the same sequence under 1 other name. Lineage: Bacteria; Bacillati; Actinomycetota; Actinomycetes; Micromonosporales; Micromonosporaceae. The record is from RNAcentral.
CGGGUUGUGGCUCAGCUUGGUAGAGCACCGCGUUCGGGACGCGGGGGUCGUCGGUUCGAAUCCGGCCAACCCGA